This 713-nucleotide ribosomal RNA is filed under the name Boana albopunctata (spotted treefrog). Its description in RNAcentral is "partial 16S ribosomal RNA". It matches the Rfam family "Bacterial large subunit ribosomal RNA", at positions 1926 to 2925 of the family's 2925-position model. The record is from RNAcentral. Lineage: Eukaryota; Metazoa; Chordata; Amphibia; Anura; Hylidae.
AACGGCCGCGGUAUCCUAACCGUGCGAAGGUAGCGUAAUCACUUGUUCUUUAAAUGAGGACUAGUAUGAAUGGCACCACGAGGGUUAAGCUGUCUCCUUUUUCUAAUCAGUGAAACUAAUCUCCCCGUGAAGAAGCGGGGAUUAUACUAUAAGACGAGAAGACCCUAUGGAGCUUAAAACAAAUUAACACUUGCUUCUAUCCAUUUUUACUCCUGAACUAACACAUAAAAUAUAGCAUCGUUGAUUAAUAGUUUUCGAUUGGGGUGAUCAUGGAGUAAAAACCAACCUCCACGACGAAAAGGAACACUUCCCUGAGCUAAAAGCUACAACUUUAAGCACUAAAAAAUUAACGCACUUUGACCCAAAUUUUUGAGCAACGAACCAAGUUACCCUAGGGAUAACAGCGCAAUCCAUUUCAAGAGCCCCUAUCGACAAAUGGGUUUACGACCUCGAUGUUGGAUCAGGGUAUCCCAGUGGUGCAGCCGCUACUAAAGGUUCGUUUGUUCAACGAUUAAAACCCUACGUGAUCUGAGUUCAGACCGGAGAAAUCCAGGUCAGUUUCUAUCUAUAAAGGGCUUUUUCUAGUACGAAAGGACCGAAAAAGCAUGGCCAAUGAUCAAUUAAGCCAUAUAAAUUACUCAUGUUCUCAACUCAAUUAGAAACAAACCUACCAUAAACCUCAAAAAAAGAGAAGUUAACGUAGCAAAACCUGG